GGAUGUCGAUAUUGGAGGGC
Molecule: microRNA, 20 nt
Filed under: Zea mays
Lineage: Eukaryota; Viridiplantae; Streptophyta; Magnoliopsida; Poales; Poaceae
Description: miRt21d
Source: RNAcentral